This 375-nucleotide ribosomal RNA is filed under the name uncultured bacterium. Its description in RNAcentral is "bacterial SSU rRNA". It matches the Rfam family "Bacterial small subunit ribosomal RNA", at positions 524 to 898 of the family's 1533-position model. The record is from RNAcentral.
GACGAACCGUGCAAACGUUGUUCGGAAUCACUGGGCUUAAAGGGCGCGUAGGCGGGGGACCAAGUCCGGGGUGAAAUCUUUCGGCUCAACCGGAAAACUGCCUUGGAUACUGGUCUUCUUGAGGGAGGUAGGGGCAGGUGGAACUUCCGGUGGAGCGGUGAAAUGCGUUGAUAUCGGAAGGAACGCCGGUGGCGAAAGCGACCUGCUGGAUCUCUUCUGACGCUGAGGCGCGAAAGCUAGGGGAGCGAACGGGAUUAGAUACCCCGGUAGUCCUAGCCCUAAACGAUGGGUACUAGGUUGCGGACUUGACAUGAGUUCGCAGCCGAAGCAAAAGUGUUAAGUACCCCGCCUGGGGAGUAUGGUCGCAAGGCUGAA